RNAcentral lists this ribosomal RNA (974 nucleotides) under uncultured bacterium. Its description in RNAcentral is "bacterial SSU rRNA". It matches the Rfam family "Bacterial small subunit ribosomal RNA", at positions 8 to 961 of the family's 1533-position model. The record is from RNAcentral.
AGAGUUUGAUCCUGGCUCAGGACGAACGCUGGCGGCGUGCCUAAUACAUGCAAGUCGAGCGAAUCGAUGGGAGCUUGCUCCUUGAGAUUAGCGGCGGACGGGUGAGUAACACGUGGGCAACCUGCCCUGCAGAUGGGGAUAACUCCGGGAAACCGGGGCUAAUACCGAAUAAUCAGUUCCUCCGCAUGGAGGAACUCUGAAAGACGGUUUCGGCUGUCACUGCAGGAUGGGCCCGCGGCGCAUUAGCUUGUUGGUGGGGUAACGGCCUACCAAGGCGACGAUGCGUAGCCGACCUGAGAGGGUGAUCGGCCACACUGGGACUGAGACACGGCCCAGACUCCUACGGGAGGCAGCAGUAGGGAAUCUUCCACAAUGGACGAAAGUCUGAUGGAGCAACGCCGCGUGAGCGAAGAAGGCUUUCGGAUCGUAAAGCUCUGUUGUGAGGGAAGAACAAGUACGGGAGUAACUGCCCGUACCUUGACGGUACCUCAUCAGAAAGCCAUGGCUAACUACGUGCCAGCAGCCGCGGUAAUACGUAGGCGGCAAGCGUUGUCCGGAAUUAUUGGGCGUAAAGCGCGCGCAGGCGGUCCCUUAAGUCUGAUGUGAAAGCCCACGGCUCAACCGUGGAGGGUCAUUGGAAACUGGGGGACUUGAGUACAGAAGAGGAAAGCGGAAUUCCACGUGUAGCGGUGAAAUGCGUAGAGAUGUGGAGGAAUACCAGUGGCGAAGGCGGCUUUCUGGUCUGUAACUGACGCUGAGGCGCGAAAGCGUGGGGAGCAAUAAGGAUUAGAUACCCUGGUAGUCCACGCCGUAAACGAUGAGUGCUAAGUGUUAGGGGGUUUCCGCCCCUUAGUGCGGCAGCUAACGCAUUAAGCACUCCGCCUGGGGGAGUACGGCCGCAAGGCUGAAAACUCAAAGGAAUUGACGGGGACCCGCACAAGCGGUGGAGCCAUGUGGUUUAAUUCGAAGCAACG